GGUUAUAUAGUGUAGUGGUUAGCACCCGGGAUUUUGAGUGUAAUCACCUUCCCGUAACCCAAGUUCGACUCUUGGUAUGACCA
Rhizoctonia solani AG-8 WAC10335 is the source of this 83-nucleotide transfer RNA. It matches the Rfam family "tRNA". From Rfam's summary of the family: Transfer RNA (tRNA) molecules are approximately 80 nucleotides in length. Their secondary structure includes four short double-helical elements and three loops (D, anti-codon, and T loops). The record is from Rfam. NCBI's taxonomy places the organism in Eukaryota, Fungi, Basidiomycota, Agaricomycetes, Cantharellales, Ceratobasidiaceae.